GACCUCAAAUCAGGUAGGACUACCCGCUGAACUUAAGCAUAUCAAUAAGCGGAGGAAAAGAAACUAACAAGGAUUCCCCUAGUAACUGCGAGUGAAGCGGGAAAAGCUCAAAUUUAAAAUCUGGCAGUCUCUUGGCUGUCCGAGUUGUAAUCUAGAGAAGUGUUAUCCGCGCUGGACCGUGUACAAGUCUCCUGGAAUGGAGCAUCAUAGAGGGUGAGAAUCCCGUCUUUGACAUGGACUACCAGGGCUUUGUGAUGCACUCUCAAAGAGUCGAGUUGUUUGGGAAUGCAGCUCAAAAUGGGUGGUAAAUUCCAUCUAAAGCUAAAUAUUGGCGAGAGACCGAUAGCGAACAAGUACCGUGAGGGAAAGAUGAAAAGAACUUUGGAAAGAGAGUUAAACAGUACGUGAAAUUGCUGAAAGGGAAACGCUUGAAGUCAGUCGCAUCAUCCAGGGAUCAACCUUGCUUUUGCUUGGUGCACUUCCUGGUUUGAUGGGUCAGCAUCAAUUUUGACUAUUGGAAAAAGGUUAAGGGAAUGUGGCAUCUUUGGAUGUGUUAUAGYCCUUGGUCACAUACAAU
Molecule: ribosomal RNA, 577 nt
Filed under: Cortinarius sp. DAVFP 29148
Lineage: Eukaryota; Fungi; Basidiomycota; Agaricomycetes; Agaricales; Cortinariaceae
Description: eukaryotic LSU rRNA
Rfam family: Eukaryotic large subunit ribosomal RNA
Source: RNAcentral